This 367-nucleotide ribosomal RNA is filed under the name fungal sp. 171A TTMM-2011. Its description in RNAcentral is "eukaryotic LSU rRNA". The stretch from base 1 to 143 matches the Rfam family "5.8S ribosomal RNA". The record is from RNAcentral. Lineage: Eukaryota; Fungi.
ACGGAUCUCUUGGUUCUGGCAUCGAUGAAGAACGCAGCGAAAUGCGAUAAGUAAUGUGAAUUGCAGAAUUCAGUGAAUCAUCGAAUCUUUGAACGCACAUUGCGCCCUCCGGUAUUCCGGAGGGCAUGCCUGUUCGAGCGUCAUUUCAACCCUCAAGCACUGCUUGGUGUUGGGGCACUGCUCCUCUCGCGGGGAGCAGGCCCUGAAAUUCAGUGGCGAGCUCGCCAGGACCCCGAGCGCAGUAGUUAAACCCUCGCUCUGGAAGGCCCUGGCGGUGCCCUGCCGUUAAACCCCCAACUCUUGAAAAUUUGACCUCGGAUCAGGUAGGAAUACCCGCUGAACUUAAGCAUAUCAAUAAGCGGAGGAA